AUAAAGAUUUCGGUUUUUAUCUUAGUGGCGCACGGGUGAGUAACACGUGAAUAACCUGACCCAAAGAGGGGGAUAACAGUUGGAAACGACUGCUAAUACCGCAUGACACAUAGGUGUCGCAUGGCACUUAUGUCAAAGAUUUAUCGCUGAAAGAUGGCCUCGCGUCUGAUUAGAUAGUUGGUGAGGUAACGGCUCACCAAGUCGACGAUCAGUAGCCGGACUGAGAGGUUGAACGGCCACAUUGGGACUGAGAUACGGCCCAGACUCC
This 268-nucleotide ribosomal RNA is filed under the name uncultured Oscillospiraceae bacterium. RNAcentral describes it as "partial 16S ribosomal RNA". It matches the Rfam family "Bacterial small subunit ribosomal RNA", at positions 71 to 339 of the family's 1533-position model. Lineage: Bacteria; Bacillati; Bacillota; Clostridia; Eubacteriales; Oscillospiraceae. The record is from RNAcentral.